GCAGUUAUAUCUGUACAAAGUUACAUUUUCAUUAGAUAAUGCACAGAAAAAUGUAAGUAAAAAACAUGAUGUGACAAGUGAAUCAGGAAAGUUACACCAAACUAGUUUCUGAUUGACCCUCCACAGUAUUGGGUCAUCCCUGUCAUAGGAAUGUCAGUGAGAACUAACUGUGCAAGCAAAUGUUACAAGAUAUAAUUAAAAUCUUCUCUGCUAAUGGACUAAGAAAUUUAUACCCCCAGACAGAAUUCUCGUUUUAGCGCCCAUUAAAAUCUAUCUAGGGCCUCCAUGUGCCUCUCCACGCCUUCUCCUCCUCCCAGAACGCCCAAAAAAAAUUCUACCUUGACGACGUAGACGGCUAGCCAGAGAUGUACUCCUAUUGCCGUCUUCCUCGUCACUAUCAACAUUUUGGCGAGAGUGAUCAAAAGCACCUGCAGUGGUUCCAUGACUGUAACUAGCACCUCUAGCCAAUGUAUAAUUGGAGUCUCUCUCGUGUCUCCUCAAACCUCUAGGGGGUCC
This 516-nucleotide long non-coding RNA is filed under the name Olea europaea (common olive). RNAcentral describes it as "long non-coding RNA (OEUR_LNC010025)". The record is from RNAcentral. Lineage: Eukaryota; Viridiplantae; Streptophyta; Magnoliopsida; Lamiales; Oleaceae.